RNAcentral lists this transfer RNA (58 nucleotides) under Stegodyphus mimosarum. It matches the Rfam family "tRNA", at positions 8 to 63 of the family's 71-position model. Rfam says of the family: Transfer RNA (tRNA) molecules are approximately 80 nucleotides in length. Their secondary structure includes four short double-helical elements and three loops (D, anti-codon, and T loops). The record is from Rfam by way of RNAcentral. Lineage: Eukaryota; Metazoa; Arthropoda; Arachnida; Araneae; Eresidae.
UGGUGUAGUGGUCAGCACACUGAGCCGGUAUUUCAGAGGUGCGUGGUUCGAUUCCCGU